This 584-nucleotide ribosomal RNA is filed under the name uncultured Micromonas. RNAcentral's name for it is "eukaryotic LSU rRNA". It matches the Rfam family "Eukaryotic large subunit ribosomal RNA", at positions 1 to 678 of the family's 3401-position model. Lineage: Eukaryota; Viridiplantae; Chlorophyta; Mamiellophyceae; Mamiellales. The record is from RNAcentral.
UUUUGACCUCAGUUCAGACAAGGCUACCCGCCGAAUUUAAGCAUAUUACUAAGCGGAGGAAAAGAAAAUAACAAUGAUUCCCCUAGUAACGGCGAGCGAACCGGGAAGAGCCCAACUUGGAAAUCUGGAGGCUUGUCCUUCCGAAUUGUAGUCUAGAGUAGUGCCAUCUGCGGCUGGCCGGUCCCAAGUUCCCUGGAAAGGGACGUCAGAGAGGGUGAGAGCCCCGUCGAGGCCGGUUUAGUCGCUCCACGAUGCGCUUACAAGGAGUCGGGUUGUUUGGGAAUGCAGCCCUAAGCGGGAGGUAAAUUCCUUCUAAGGCUAAAUAUUGGCGAGAGACCGAUAGCGAACAAGUACCGCGAGGGAAAGAUGAAAAGACCUUUGAAAAGAGAGUUAAAAAGUACCUGAAAUUGUUGAGGGGGAAGCGAUUAAAACCAGCGGGUGCUCCCUAGGUAGGCUUUGCCACACGCUAGGGGCUGGUCAACGUGGGUUAGUCGGGGGGGACAUUACUCCUGACUGACCGAGGACUCGACGUUGGCGGAAUGGUUUUAAUCGGCCCGUCUCGAAACACGGACCAAGGAGUCUAA